UAAACUGUAGUCUAUUUAAGACAUUUACCUUCCAAGUAAAAAAUAUCUGAAGAUUAGUUUAA
This 62-nucleotide transfer RNA is filed under the name Salpa thompsoni. Its description in RNAcentral is "tRNA-Gly". The record is from RNAcentral. Lineage: Eukaryota; Metazoa; Chordata; Thaliacea; Salpida; Salpidae.